RNAcentral lists this transfer RNA (73 nucleotides) under Paramuricea clavata. It matches the Rfam family "tRNA". From Rfam's summary of the family: Transfer RNA (tRNA) molecules are approximately 80 nucleotides in length. Lineage: Eukaryota; Metazoa; Cnidaria; Anthozoa; Malacalcyonacea; Plexauridae. The record is from Rfam by way of RNAcentral.
GACCACUUAGCUCAGUUGGCAGAGCAUUGGGCUAGCAUUCCAAAGGUCGUAGGUUCGAUUCCCACCGUGGUCA